CCGUAGGCGGCCCUCUUUCUCCUUCUUUCCUGGUCUUCCCUUUCGUUCCUUCUUUUGUCUCCUUUCGUUGUUAAAGCGCCCAGGCUUAACCGGGCGAGGACAAUGAAGACUGGUCAGCUAGAGGACGGUAGAGGGGUGUGGAAUUCCGGGUGUAGUGGUGAAAUGCGUAGAGAUCCGGAGGAACACCAGUGGCGAAAGCGAUUUUCUGGAUCGUUUCUGACGCUCAGACGCGAAAGCUAGGGUAGCAAACGG
This 252-nucleotide ribosomal RNA is filed under the name uncultured prokaryote. Its description in RNAcentral is "partial 16S ribosomal RNA". It matches the Rfam family "Bacterial small subunit ribosomal RNA", at positions 525 to 775 of the family's 1533-position model. The record is from RNAcentral.